This 72-nucleotide microRNA precursor is filed under the name Drosophila ananassae. Its description in RNAcentral is "Dan-Mir-87-P2-v1_pre stem-loop". It matches the Rfam family "mir-87 microRNA precursor family". The record is from RNAcentral. Lineage: Eukaryota; Metazoa; Arthropoda; Insecta; Diptera; Drosophilidae.
UCGCGCCUGUAUCUUGCUGAACCGUUACCGAUAUGGCACAGAAUCCGGUUGAGCAAAAUUUCAGGUGUGUGA